Molecule: ribosomal RNA, 241 nt
Filed under: uncultured bacterium
Lineage: Bacteria
Description: partial 16S ribosomal RNA
Rfam family: Bacterial small subunit ribosomal RNA
Source: RNAcentral
GAUCCUGGCUCAGGAUGAACGCUAGCUACAGGCUUAACACAUGUAAGUCGAGGGGCGAGCAUGGUCUUAGCUUGCUAAGGCCGAUGGCGACCGGCGCACGGGUGAGUAACGCGUAUCCAACCUGCCUUACACUCUUGGGACAGCCCUUCUGAAAGGGAGAUUAAUACCAAGAUGUUUAUCAUGAGUAAGCAUUUUCGCAUGAUUAAAGGUUUACCGUGUGGUAAGAGUGGGGAUCGUCGUU